ACCUUUCUAAAAUCGCUUGUAAA
This 23-nucleotide non-coding RNA is filed under the name Arabidopsis thaliana (thale cress). The record is from RNAcentral. Lineage: Eukaryota; Viridiplantae; Streptophyta; Magnoliopsida; Brassicales; Brassicaceae.